RNAcentral lists this ribosomal RNA (497 nucleotides) under uncultured bacterium. RNAcentral's name for it is "partial 16S ribosomal RNA". It matches the Rfam family "Bacterial small subunit ribosomal RNA", at positions 28 to 507 of the family's 1533-position model. The record is from RNAcentral.
GAUGAACGCUGGCGGCGUGCCUAAUACAUGCAAGUCGAGCGAACGGACGAGAAGCUUGCUUCUCUGAUGUUAGCGGCGGACGGGUGAGUAACACGUGGAUAACCUACCUAUAAGACUGGGAUAACUUCGGGAAUCCGGAGCUAAUACCGGAUAAUAUUUUGAACCGCAUGGUUCAAAAGUGAAAGACGGUCUUGCUGUCACUUAUAGAUGGAUCCGCGCUGCAUUAGCUAGUUGGUAAGGUAACGGCUUACCAAGGCAACGAUGCAUAGCCGACCUGAGAGGGUGAUCGGCCACACUGGAACUGAGACACGGUCCAGAGUCCUACGGGAGGCAGCAGUAGGGAAUCUUCCGCAAUGGGCGAAAGCCUGACGGAGCAACGCCGCGUGAGUGAUGAAGGUCUUCGGAUCGUAAAACUCUGUUAUUAGGGAAGAACAUAUGUGUAAGUAACUGUGCACAUCUUGACGGUACCUAAUCAGAAAGCCACGGCUAACUACGUG